Long non-coding RNA from Nymphalis io (European peacock), 952 nucleotides. RefSeq lists it as uncharacterized. The record is from RefSeq and is a predicted model, not a curated record. Lineage: Eukaryota; Metazoa; Arthropoda; Insecta; Lepidoptera; Nymphalidae. The transcript is spliced from 2 exons.
GCUAUUAACCCUUUAACCGCCUAGGUCGAAUUAAUCCGACAAAUAUUUUCGGGCCCAUUUCGCCUGAGUCGUAUAUUUACGACCAAAAUAACACUGAUCGUUUUAUCAGCUUUUUUAUUUAAUUACGCUGUAUUCUAUCAAAAAUAUGUUUACAUUAGGUAAAUAGUUAACUAAGUAAUCGUUUACAGUUUAAUACACUUUAGCCUCUUAAUUAGAAGUCUUAAAAAUAAUGUCCAAAGUUAGAAGAAUUACUAACAUUAUUUUUAGAAAAUUGUAUUGAUGUGCAACGCCCAUGACGACAAAAUCCGACGUGAGGGACGAGACAUAUGCCAAGAUUUACCGAUACAAAAAUAAAAAUAAAUGAAAAUAUUUCUCGUUAUACUAACUAAUUAACUUUAAAUACAAAUACAGCAAUUUGUUAUUAAAAUUGUGAUAUUUUACAUUACGUUACAUUUAAGUCUAUAGGUAAACUGAUAAUGACAUGUCCAAGAGUGAAAUUUUUAUUUUUAUGUUUAUUGUUCAUUAGUGUGAUAUAAAUUGUGAUUGUGAUAAAUAUCGUUACCAUUUAAGUCUAUAUGUAAACUGAUAAUGUCCAAGAGUAACUUUUUUUAUUUUUAUUUUUGUUGUUAAUUGUUUAGUAGGCAGUGCGCGUUUCUUUAAGUACUCGUAUUCGAUCGUGUCAACGUUUACGUAGAUUUGUGGAACAUUUGUAGUUCCCGUUAUUGUCACCAGGCGUUACUUAAGUUUCAGUACAAAUCGAAGUUAACGUAGACACGAUCGACUACGUAUAAAAACUCGCACUAAAACUUAGGAGUAGGUAUAAAUCAAUACACAUAAGAACUCAUUACCUGUACCUACUUACUUUUGAGAAAUCAAUCGUUUUUCUUCUCUGGACUGAUUUUAUUUUGAAUAGCCUAAGUACGAAUUAAUAAAUCGUUCAAAUUUUCAAACA